GUUUCUGUAGUGUAGUGGUUAUCACGUUGGCGUAACACCCGAAAGGUCCUCGGUUCGAACCCGGGCGGAAACA
This is a non-coding RNA of Salmo salar (Atlantic salmon), 73 nucleotides long. NCBI's taxonomy places the organism in Eukaryota, Metazoa, Chordata, Actinopteri, Salmoniformes, Salmonidae. The record is from Rfam.